GGGUAGUCUGGCUGCCACAUCUGUCAUCCAUUGAGCCUCCAGAGUUGAUUCUGGUCAUCUAACUUGCUAAGUGGGGGUCCCUUUUUUUUUCCCCUUCAACUGUCCAUCUGUAUCCAUUGCAAAGCUCAGUCAAAAAGGAUGACCUUCCAAUAUAGAGGAGAAUCAUCUUCAGUCAAGAGAAUUGUUGAAUUCCCUGGGUAUAAUUACAAAAUUAGCUCUGCUGGGAGGUGGGGUUAAAUCAUUUCCU
RNAcentral lists this small RNA (247 nucleotides) under Tursiops truncatus (common bottlenose dolphin). RNAcentral describes it as "7SK RNA (ENSTTRG00000025165.1)". The stretch from base 1 to 189 matches the Rfam family "7SK RNA". Rfam says of the family: 7SK was discovered as an abundant small nuclear RNA in the mid-70s but a possible function has only recently been suggested. Two independent studies have found that 7SK RNA binds the CDK9/cyclin T complex (known as elongation factor P-TEFb). The record is from RNAcentral. Lineage: Eukaryota; Metazoa; Chordata; Mammalia; Artiodactyla; Delphinidae.